GAAGGUGGUCGGCGGGCAAAUACAUUGGGCCGCGCCAAAUUAAACCAUUUGUUUUGUCCGAAAAUUGAAAGAAGGUGAAGACGUUAAAGCUGGCAAAUUGACGAAUUUGCCCUCCAAAUUGACGAAGGUAACGUGCACAAAAUCGCACUCAUAAUAUCUUAAAGUUUACUCAAAGACUCGCAUUUCACGCGACCAUUAAAUAAUUGUUACUUAAUAGCAGUGUCUCUCUCUCUCUCUCUCUCUCUCUCUCUCCCCCCUCCUCCACCACUCUCCUCUGCCCGAUCCGCCACCGCAACCACCGUUCUCCGCCCCUCCUAAAUGCCGAAAAUGCCCUUCACGGAGGUCCUGGCCGCCGUCUUCUUCUCCCUUCUCCUCGCCCCCGCUGCCGCAGAAAUCAAGACUCUGAAGAUCUCCUCCGACGCCCGUCCCAUGAUUUUAUUCGAGAAGUUCGGAUUCACCCACACCGGCCACGUCGCCGUCACCGUCUCCGGCGUGUCCGUUGUCUCGUCGCUGGCCAAUCCCGAGCCCUCCCGCCUCGGAUUCUUCCUCCUCUCGGAAGACGCCCUUCUGCAGGUCCUCGUCGAGCUCCAGCGCCAAAACCCUAAUUUCUGCGUUCUCGACUCCAGUUACAUCAAGCACCUCUUCACGUUCCGUGAGCUUUCUCCGCCGCCUCACAGCAGCUUCAACCAGUCCUAUCCUGUCAGCGCCCCUGGCGAGUACAGCCUCUUCUUCGCCAAUUGCGCCGCAGAGAGCAAAGUCACCAUGGACGUCCACACCGAGGUCUACAACCUCGAUGACGGCGGCGUGAAGGACUAUCUGUCCGCCGGACGCACUCAGCUUCCCUCGAUCUUCUUCCUCUUCUCGCUCUGUUACUUAGCUUUCUUGUCGCUCUGGAUCUACAUCUGCCUCACGAACAAGCGAUCGGUUCACCGGAUCCAUAUCCUCAUGGCCGGAUUGCUCUUGAUGAAGGCCUUGAACCUGAUCUGCGCCGCUGAGGACAUGCAUUACGUGAAAGUCACUGGAACGCCCCACGGCUGGGACGUGUUGUUCUACUUUUUCCAAUUUAUUAGGGUUGUGUUGUUGUUCACUGUGAUUGUUUUGAUCGGAACGGGUUGGUCUUUCCUGAAGCCCUUCUUACAAGAGAAGGAGAAGAAGGUGUUGAUGAUUGUGAUUCCGCUUCAAGUUUUAGCCAAUGUGGCUUCGGUUGUGAUCGGCGAGACCGGGCCCUUUAUUAAAGAUUGGGUUACCUGGAAUCAGGUUUUCUUGUUGGUGGACAUCAUCUGCUGUUGCGCUAUUAUUUUCCCAAUUGUCUGGUCAAUUCGGUCUCUCAGAGAGACGUCUAAGACAGACGGGAAGGCGGCGAGGAACUUGGCAAAAUUGAACCUCUUCAGGCAGUUCUACAUGGUGGUUAUUGGGUACUUGUACUUCACCAGGAUUGUCGUGUUUGCUCUCAGGACAAUUGCAGCUUAUAAAUAUCAGUGGGUGAGUAAUGCUGCUGAGGAGAUUGCUAGUCUUGCGUUUUACAUGAUAAUGUUCUAUAUGUUCAGGCCAGUUGAGACGAAUGAGUACUUUGCUCUUGAUGAGGAGGAGGAGGAGGCGGCCGAGAUGGCCCUUCGGGAUGAAGAGUUUGAGCUUUGAGGCUUUUGUGAAGCGGAUAUGUUGAUUAAUUAGCAUCCUUCACACAUUUGGCUGCUCUUACACCUGGACAUCGUGAAUUGUCUGCUGAAUUCACAGGGGAUGGAGUAAGGGGCAAAAGUUGAGGCACAUGCAUUGAAGUUCAAGGAAAUGGAAUUCGACUUAUAAGUUUACUGACCACUGACAAGUUAGGAGGGUCAGAAGUACUUCAUGAGAAAAUAAGUUCUUCAUAAAGGAGACAAGACUAGCAACCAUAUAGUGAAGUUGAUUUAUGAUGGGGGGAGAUUCUGCUAGAAGCUUUAGGAGUCAUUAAUGAUGCCUUCAACUAUUGAAGAACAAGCUCUGGAUAAUUUUUGAAGGGCUUCCAUUAAAGUUGAUCUUGAUCAUGCACUUUUGGUGGAUGAGGCUGUUCAGUUAAAUAAAAAGGAAAUGCAACUAGGAAAGGCUGGUGGCAAGUUUCUUUUGUACACUUGCAAUUGGGUCAUGCUGUGUGGUUUGUUGGCACAUUGGCCAUUUCAGUUCUGCUUGUGUAGGAAAGAGAAAGCACUUCCUGGUCAUGAUAUUUGCCUUGUAUUACUGUAGAUUCUAUCCAAUCUAUAUGGAAAAUCCUUUAUUGCCUAAUAUAGGUAUUUGGGGGCCUGGGUGUGCUCAAAGUAUGCUGCAACUAGAGGACUAUAUCAUACUUUAAAAUUGCAGGGUACUAACGCAUAUUGGAAAGGGGAGGGACAUGAACUGAAUCGUCAAAAAUGGCGAUCUCAAAUGUAAAACUUUAAAAGUGACUUGGUAGCCCAAAUUCAAAGGUCUAAACUGAUAAGGAAGUUUCACCUUAUCAUUAAGCUUUUGAGAUGACUGUUAGCUUUAAAUUUGUUAUGUUACCAUUCAGUUUUUUUUUUUUGGUUUCCUAUUUCUGGUCCUACUGUUAGGGUCAUAUGUUAUUGCAGGCUUCCUUUUCGUUAAAUUGGACCUUACUUUCAUUACAACAUCUUAUGAAUAUAACAAAAAUUUUCCUUUGAAUUUUAAAAGUGUACUGAUACAUUAUUCAAAGCAAACCACGAAUCAAACUAACCUACCAACUACUCCUACCCCAACAAAUUCAGUAAAAUGGUCAAGUCUCCGUUUAGGUAGUUGGUAUUCAUUCUUCUUUUAUGCGUUCAUCUUUCUCCCAUGCUUUCCGCUGGUCAACAACCAACAAAAGUUAUUUAUAGUUCUUC
Molecule: RNA transcript, 2846 nt
Organism: Diospyros lotus (date-plum)
Lineage: Eukaryota; Viridiplantae; Streptophyta; Magnoliopsida; Ericales; Ebenaceae
Gene name: protein CANDIDATE G-PROTEIN COUPLED RECEPTOR 7-like
Exons: 2
Source: RefSeq, a predicted model, not a curated record